GACGAACGCUGGCGGCGUGCUUAACACAUGCAAGUCGAACGGAAAGGCCCUGCUUUUGUGGGGUGCUCGAGUGGCGAACGGGUGAGUAACACGUGAGUAACCUGCCCUUGACUUUGGGAUAACUUCAGGAAACUGGGGCUAAUACCGGAUAGGAGCUCCUGCUGCAUGGGGGGGGGUGGAAAGUUUCGGCGGUUGGGGAUGGACUCGCGGCUUAUCAGCUUGUUGGUGGGGUAGUGGCUUACCAAGGCUUUGACGGGUAGCCGGCCUGGGAGGGUGAGCGGCGACAUUGGGACUGAGAUACGGCCCAGAGUACUACGGGAGGCAGCUGUGGGGAAUAUUGCAGAAUGGGCAGAAGCCUGAUGCAGCAACGCCGCGUGCGGGAUGACGGCCUUCGGGUUGUAAACCGCUUUCGCCUGUGACGAAGCGUGAGUGACGGUAAUGGGUAAAGAAGCACCGGCUAACUACGUG
RNAcentral lists this ribosomal RNA (468 nucleotides) under uncultured bacterium. RNAcentral describes it as "partial 16S ribosomal RNA". It matches the Rfam family "Bacterial small subunit ribosomal RNA", at positions 28 to 507 of the family's 1533-position model. The record is from RNAcentral.